AAAUGAAUUGACGGGGGCCCGCACAAGCAGUGGAGUAUGUGGUUUAAUUCGACGCAACGCGAAGAACCUUACCAGGGCUUGACAUCCCCUGACGGGCGCAGAGAUGCGCCGUUCCCUUCGGGGACAGGGAGACAGGUGGUGCAUGGUUGUCGUCAGCUCGUGUCGUGAGAUGUUGGGUUAAGUCCCGCAACGAGCGCAACCCCUAUUGCCAGUUGCCAGCAUGAAAGAUGGGCACUCUGGCGAGACUGCCGUUGACAAAACGGAGGAAGGCGGGGAUGAUGUCAAAUCAUCAUGCCCCUUAUGUCCUGGGCUACACACGUACUACAAUGGCAGCAACAGAGGGCGGCGCGGCCGCGAGGCCAAGCGAAUCCCGAAAAGCUGUCCCAGUUCAGAUUGCAGGCUGCAACUCGCCUGCAUGAAGUCGGAAUUGCUAGUAAUGGCAGGUCAGCAUACUGCCGUGAAUACGUUCCCGGGCCUUGUACACACCGCCCGU
This 493-nucleotide ribosomal RNA is filed under the name uncultured bacterium. RNAcentral describes it as "bacterial SSU rRNA". It matches the Rfam family "Bacterial small subunit ribosomal RNA", at positions 903 to 1397 of the family's 1533-position model. The record is from RNAcentral.